GCGCCGCUGGCGCAACGGGAUAGCGCGGCCGCCUCCUAAGCGGCAGGUUGCCGGUUCGAAUCCGGCGCGGCGCA
This 74-nucleotide transfer RNA is filed under the name Coriobacteriaceae bacterium. RNAcentral describes it as "tRNA-Arg". It matches the Rfam family "tRNA". From Rfam's summary of the family: Transfer RNA (tRNA) molecules are approximately 80 nucleotides in length. The record is from RNAcentral. Lineage: Bacteria; Bacillati; Actinomycetota; Coriobacteriia; Coriobacteriales; Coriobacteriaceae.